Solanum pennellii is the source of this 1722-nucleotide RNA transcript. It is a transcript of the gene named SART-1 family protein DOT2-like, with no coding region annotated. The transcript is spliced from 4 exons. The record is from RefSeq and is a predicted model, not a curated record. NCBI's taxonomy places the organism in Eukaryota, Viridiplantae, Streptophyta, Magnoliopsida, Solanales, Solanaceae.
UCUUUUCUUCCAAUUAACAAAACCUAGAGUCGCAACGUUUUUGUGAUGGGGAAAGAGAAGAUGGACCGAAUUGAUGCAGUAUUGUUUGAUGAUGAUGAUAACGAAGAAUUCAGAAAAUCAUACGAAAGACUCAGAAAACUUUCAUCGGAAAAGCAAAAGGGCGUUGUCGAAACUUUUCCAGAGAGAUGGGAGAUUUUGUUUGGGGUCUUCAGUUUGAUAAAUUAGAACAACAACAAAAACCUAUUGUUGAUGUGCUGCCAAAACCGAAAGAGGAAGUUUCUGUAAUAGAGGAGAAUUUUGAAAUUAAACCAGAGAGGACGAUACGUGAAGUUCCAAUAGGGAAGGGUUUGUCAGAGGCACUCAGAUUAUUGAGAGAAAUAGGUACACUGAAGGAGGCAGAUAUGGAAUUGGCUGGUCGAAACACAGAUAAGAAGAAAAACAAGCUGAUUGGGAUUCAUGGUGGUGAUGUGGAAGGGGAAGAAGAGAUACAAAUUAACAGGAUUGAUGAAUUUGGGCGAAAUCUAACUCCAAAGGAGUCCUUUAGGUUAUUUUCACAUCAAUUUCAUGGGAAGGGGCCAGGAAAGGAGAAGCAAGAGAAACGUAUACGGCAACACCAGAAGGAACUGAAGAUGAAAAAUCCAUCACUAUCUGUGGCGGAGAGGAUGACAAAGUCUCAGGCUCAAUUUAAAAUUGUUCUAAGCGGACAUAUUCAACCAGGGCUUGCUACAGCUGACAAGGGCAUGCUUGGUGAUAAGAAGGUUGGACAUGUUUCGGGCAUAAAACGCAAGUCUGAUUCAGGACAAUAUUCGCGCUGCCAUAAAUUCCACAAUGUAUGAUUUGCAACUUUCAAAUAAGUGUAGUUUAGUUGCUUCUUCUUUAUAUUACCUGAACUUUUACGAUUGUAGCUAAUUGAUUAGAUGAUUUGGCAUGUCAUCCCAUGUUACGUUUUGGAUAUUUGUUUUCCUUGUGUUGUUUAUUCGAUUCUAUUCUACGUCGUUGCCAUGAUGUACUUGCAAAAUCUCUAAUAUGGUUGAUGAUAUUAUAUAUCGAGGUAUUUAUGUUGGCAAAAAGGAAAAUGGUGGCCUGCGUGAUCUCAAGAUUUAGUUGAAUGCCUCAAGGCACUCAAAGAAUGCAGAAGAAGAAGAUCUCUAGGAGUUAUCAACUUAUUUCCUUCGGCUAUACAGGGUAUACAUGUCAAGUGUGUGUAUGUAUUUGACUGGAAGAAGGCCUAUUUUGUGUUGAUCUCAAGGUUUUGUUUCGUGGGUCGUUGAGUUCUUGUUGAAUUUAUAUGAAGAAUCAACAUCAGUGGAAUAAAUUAGAUAAUAGCAGCAAGUCUGUACUGAAUUCUCUGGUGUAUGCUAUUAAACAUGAGUGAAAAUAACCUAUUUGUACAGUAAAAAAUUAAGCUGAGGCAAACAUGUGUAAGCAUCGUCACUGUAUUUGUGCUCCAACAUGCUAUUUCACAUUCGCGUUCACUCAAAUACAGCACAAGUUUGACAAGGAGGGAAGGAGUUGCAUUUUACGUUGUCGGAGAGUGAUGUGAUCAAGUGGUGUAAGCUGUGCUGCUACCAGCAAUCGGGUCUUGAAUUUAAGCUCUAAAUGGCAUGUUGAUUGUAUUGAAAAUCAUUUGAUAUUGUAUAGUUAAUAUGAGGUGUGCUGCAAAUGCCUCUGUUGAUUGAUUAUGCUCUGCAAAUAAUACUAUGAAUGUUCACCGUUUCUCUU